Leptidea sinapis is the source of this 208-nucleotide long non-coding RNA. RefSeq lists it as uncharacterized. The record is from RefSeq and is a predicted model, not a curated record. The transcript has 3 exons. NCBI's taxonomy places the organism in Eukaryota, Metazoa, Arthropoda, Insecta, Lepidoptera, Pieridae.
GGUGCAGAGAACAAUUCUGUGAUCAUUUUUGAAAUCCAAGAGGGCUGCCGCAAACAAUAAUGUUUUCAGCAAUAUGGAUAUCGUGUCCGAGGUUCUCGAGGGUGCAGAAAAUAAUUUUGGGAUCAUUUUUAAAUCCGAGAUGGCCGCCGUGCAAGAUUAUGAUCACAAAAAUAUGGGUAUCGUAUCCGAGGUUCUCGAGGGUGCAGAA